Poecilia reticulata (guppy) is the source of this 2234-nucleotide long non-coding RNA. RefSeq lists it as uncharacterized. Lineage: Eukaryota; Metazoa; Chordata; Actinopteri; Cyprinodontiformes; Poeciliidae. The record is from RefSeq and is a predicted model, not a curated record.
AAACGAGACGAAGCACGCUUGGAUAGGUUGGUUAGAGGGGCGUGAACGACAGCCUUAAAAAUCAUCCAUCUGGAGUCCAUUGUCAUGUGCCAACUCAUCAAGGCACAAGUCCGUUUAAGAGGACUUUGAAGAUGUCUGUUGCCGGGGAUCUAAACAUAUUGGCCCAUCUGCUCCAGUUUUGCUUUCUCCAUCUUAUUUGUUCUGGGAAACCACAGGGUGUGUCUGCWGAUCACUACAUCCCUUAUCCAUCAAGACAUGCAAACAGUUGCACAGCAAUCUUAGAGCAGCAGAUGGGAUAAUAACUGCAGCUGUUGCUCUGCAUGAAGGCAUGCGAGAAAGCAACGACAUGGCAACACCAAGAUCUCAGACAUGUGGAGCUCUGGAUGUUUAUUUUUGGGGGAAUCAGUAGAAAGCAGGCUGAAUGCAAAUGCACUUAACACACUUUUUAGAUGUUUAUUUGGAAAUUAAAAAAACUUGAAAACGUCUCUUUUUACUGGUCUAACAAAUAAAAUCGCAAUAAAUCACAUUGAAAUGUUUGAUCAUGACGUGAUAAAAUUGUGAACAUUUAUUUGGGUAUAAACAUAGUAUUGUUUCAAAAUAAUAACUUGGUCUCACAUGUUAGUUUUAAUUCAGCUGAGGACAUAUUGAUCGAUUGUAAUACAGACCUGGCUAUUUUUAWUCCUCUGUGUUACUUUGUUUUGAAGAUUUUACAAUUAAAUUGAGAAUAUUUAAUUCUCAAUUUUAAGGGUUUGUGGCUAGAUGUAAUUGCAAACCAGACUGAGCGUUAUAUUAAAGCAGAYUGSUGCUACCCUUAUGUUAUCAGAGACAAGCGACCUUAUGAAGACCCUAACAGCACUUUACCUUUUCAAAGAAUUAAGAUGCACCUAUUUUGCUAUAAAAUACAUUACAWGCUAUGCUUUACUUGCACUCCCAGUUUUAAAUAAUCACAAUAAAAAAGACCCCACAGAAUAAUUGUGCAGCGACUGCAUUCAGGCUUCUUGAGCAUAGAUGCUGCUCAUUUGAAUGCAACACUGGCCUUUUAUGUCAUGACUUGUUACAUUCUAAUUGGAUUGACAGUGAAAAUAUUUGGUGCUGUGUUAAGUACUUCGGGAACAGGCAGCCUCCUGCAGUUUGGUUUCCGCCUCAGUCAGAACAGACCCACUAACYRCAUGUGCGGUGUGCUCUGAGAACAAGAUGCUGUCUGGGAGAAUGAGACACAGGAGAGCUGAUGCAACGCCAGAGUCAUAACAGACUGCAGAGGGUAAAAGGAAGAGCCACCGACAGCAGUGUAAGAACAAAUGAAGAUUUAAGAAAUUAGAAGUAGCAUCAUAGUGUCAUUUGGUAGAAUACAUCUAAGAUCCUUACUUUUGUAAUCUUAAGAGUUAUGGGCCAUCAAAAAUGGAUUUCUGGUGACUUAAAAUAUUGGAAGCGAAAGCUUCACAUUUUCAGAAAAUGUUCUUCCUGUUAUACAAAGUGAUGCAACUGCUGCCUUUGGCAGAAUUGUAUGCAAAACUUGUAUAUUAAUGUGAAAGCKUAAAUGUAUAACAUUAAAAUGUGUUUUUAGUGAGUCAAUUUUGAUGUGAAAAAUCUAAAACAAAAACUGACAAUGAACAAAAUCAAACACAUACUGCUCUAAAAAUGCACCUCUUCUUAUGUAUUUCUUCUCUGUUCUAUUAGAUGUUAAUGUUUUAAUUGUGAUUUUGUCCUUUGCACUGAAACUGUUUUAGCUUUUUUUUUUUUAAAGCUGUCAUAGUUUUUAUUCUAAUAAUUGCAGGACUUUUGUAGCCAAGUAGAACAAAGCCUUUUCUCCCCAAAACAUUUGAUAACUGAUUAAAACUCGACUCAUAAUACCACUCAUUGUUUUGUUUGUUUGUUGUUGUUUUUUUUUUUUUACCAUAUUUGUAUUAAACAUGAAAGUUUAGAAUUACAAUCCCAUUUUGCAAAUAUGUGUAAGUAUGUUGCGUAGUGUUGUGCUUAAAUAUUGAAAACUAAGUGUGAGGUUUCAUGGAGGACAAAUUGAAGAUAGGCUGUAAAACUAUUAAUGUCCCAUACGUAAUUUGAUGUUCCACAUUGUUCGAAGUGUAAAUAUGUAUUGAAACUGCUACUAAUCAGAAAAAUAUUGAKGUAUUUUCAAUCAGUUUAAGUUUGCAGUGCAUAGUUGGGUUGCUCUCCAUUGUUCUAUGUUACAUCCUUUUUACCUGGGCUGAAGAAACAUGUAAUGAUUUCUCUGGUCA